CUUUAUUACAGGUCUUUAUUUAUUUCAUAUUGAAGACUGAGCAAGGAGAAGACAGCCAGGGUGGAAGAUUUUCCUGAGAUGGUGUUCAGAGGUUUCAUCCACCGGCGUGUUUGAGGAAACCAGUCGUUACAGGGUGAGAGGCGGGGCCAUCAGUCUAUCUCAUGGCCAACACAUAAAUUACAAACACGCUUUCAUACCAAGGGCCACUUUAGAGUCACCAGUACACCCCGUGCAUGUCUUUGGACCGUGGGAGGAAGCCGGGUAACCCUGAGAGAUCCCGCAGGCACGUGAAGAACAUGCAAACUCUACGCAGAGAGGCCUCGACUGGAUUCAAACCUUCCUGCUGUGGACGACGGCGACCGCAUCGCUGUGCCGCCCUGUCAGGCUCCUAAAAGUGCAAAAACAUGACACAUUCUCCCGACUCUAAGAGUCAUUCUCUGGAAUUGGAUGCAUGAAUCAGUCUCAUACCACGUUCAUUCAUACUUCCACACACUCACCGUUGGCAGUAUUUGUAUCUGCUCUGCAGGUAAUUGGCAUCUCCUUUUUUUUCCAGCCCUCUUCACCUCGAUCUUCCCUGAAGCAUGCCGCCAUUUUUUAUUUUUUUUUAUUGAUACUCGAGAUGGCUGUUUUUAUUAUCGAAGCAAGCCUCCCCCUCUGAAUUCCAAUCCCAGCAGCGCUGCUCCGGUGUAAUUUAAUUUACCCUCUGUCCUUUUAUGUAUGUGGGAUGUGCCUGCAUGUUUGGGGGCAGAGCUUUAAUUGGAAAUGCAAACUUAAUUAAUUCACAGCGUUUUUAAUUGCUGCAUGGUUUAUUCAGCACGGCGGUGUGAAGAGAGCGCACGUACUGGCUGCCUCACGCCUGCAAAUAUUUGAUCACCUGGGGUGAUUGGAGAUAUUUUUUAACUGCUGGCUUCAUCAGAACUAAUCAAAAACCUCGAACCUGCUCUCUUCUCCGCUGAAGCGUCAGAUAAUCUGCAGAAUUAAACUCCCGUCUCUCAUUAAAAACACGAUUUUGAUUCAUUUUCUACAUCCUUUAAAAACAGUUUUGUCUCAUUUCACUUUGAAUUAACGUUAAAGUAUCAUGUUAGUAAAAGUGCCACGCUUUUCAAUUUUACACAUACAAGAUUUUUAUUUAUUUAUUC
Molecule: long non-coding RNA, 1139 nt
Organism: Astatotilapia calliptera (eastern happy)
Lineage: Eukaryota; Metazoa; Chordata; Actinopteri; Cichliformes; Cichlidae
Source: Ensembl